This 259-nucleotide ribosomal RNA is filed under the name uncultured bacterium. RNAcentral's name for it is "partial 16S ribosomal RNA". It matches the Rfam family "Bacterial small subunit ribosomal RNA", at positions 333 to 589 of the family's 1533-position model. The record is from RNAcentral.
AGGCGCCUACGGGGGGCAGCAGUGAGGAAUAUUGGUCAAUGGGCGCGAGCCUGAACCAGCCAAGUCGCGUGAGGGAAGACGGUCCUAUGGAUUGUAAACCUCUUUUGUCGGGGAGCAAAAGACGCCACGCGUGGCGUUCCGAGAGUACCCGAAGAAAAAGCAUCGGCUAACUCCGUGCCAGCAGCCGCGGUAAUACGUAGGUGGCAAGCGUUGUCCGGAUUUAUUGGGCGUAAAGCGAGUGCAGGCGGUUCAAUAAGUC